GUCUACGGCCAUGCCACCCUGAAUGUGCCCAAUCUUGUCUGAUCUCCAAAGUUAAGCAGGGUCAGGCCUGGUCUGGUUAGUACUUGGAUGGGAGACCACCUAAGAAUACCAAGAGCUGUAGAUG
Pteropus vampyrus (large flying fox) is the source of this 124-nucleotide ribosomal RNA. The record is from Ensembl. NCBI's taxonomy places the organism in Eukaryota, Metazoa, Chordata, Mammalia, Chiroptera, Pteropodidae.